UGGUAGUAAUAAUUAAUAAAACCUACUUAUUUUGGCGGCAUUUCAUCUAAUUAGAGGAACUUGUUUAAUAAUCGAUAAUCCCCGAUUAAUUUCACUUAAGUAAACAAUCUAUAUAUCGCCAUCUAAAGAAUUAAUUUUAAGAAAAUAUUCUAAAUAAAAAAUAAAAAGUUAGGUCAAGGUGUAAUCAAUACUUUAGAAUAAAUUAGUUACUAUAAACUUAAUUUAAGGAUUAGAUAAAUAAAAUUAUCUAUUAAAAAGGAUUUAAUAGUAAUUAUAUAAUAAAAUUUUAAAGUGAAAAAGAUAAUAUAUGUGU
Molecule: ribosomal RNA, 313 nt
Filed under: Molycria sp. MR670
Lineage: Eukaryota; Metazoa; Arthropoda; Arachnida; Araneae; Prodidomidae
Description: partial 12S ribosomal RNA
Source: RNAcentral